Long non-coding RNA from Vigna radiata var. radiata (mung bean), 730 nucleotides. RefSeq lists it as uncharacterized. Lineage: Eukaryota; Viridiplantae; Streptophyta; Magnoliopsida; Fabales; Fabaceae. The record is from RefSeq and is a predicted model, not a curated record. The transcript has 4 exons.
UUCAAAUUUCAUUUUCAGAGUUUGCGAAAGAAACCCUAGAGAGAGAAACUCUCCUGCCCAACGUUCAAAGCCCGUCACGACUCCACCGUCGUUCGCCAUUGAAUGGCCAUCGGAGGACCACCCAGAGGCUCUUCGCGUCUCUUCUCACCGAUCAUCUUCGUGUCUCUUCCAGCGUCAGUCGUCCCGUUUCCACCGACGACGACCCAAAGGCCUUGCCAGCACCCUUGCCGAUAACGGUCAGGCCACCGUGGCCGUCGUUCCGUCCGUGUUGUCUCCAGCCGCCGGUGUCGAUUGCUUUCUCAUUCCGCCGUCUUACCCUGCAUUUGGCGAGUGAUGGAUUUCAAUAAAGCAAAAGGUGGUCCCAAUCCUCGAUGUCGUUCGUGGUGUGAUACCAAAGUCAUUGUGGAAAUUAAUUCAAAACUCAGAGAAGUUGACCGGAUUCAAAUUGGACAAACUUCAUUCAANUGGCGGGACUUCAAGAGAUUAGGGACAACUAUGUUUCUGAUCCUGAUAAUGUGCGGCGGAAAGAAGUCUUCCAAUAUAUAUAGUUCACGUGUUACAUUUUGACUAAAAAUAUGCAUUUCAAAUAAGUGCCAGAUUGAAACAUGUCGUUUUCGUGCAGUAACUUAGCCUAAACUACCCACUUAGAAUGUCUUUGCUACCACUUUCAUCUCUGCACCAUGACUUCAAACAUAAAAGUUUUUUUGGAGAUGGACUUCAAUAUAAAUGU